Non-coding RNA from Cladorrhinum sp. PSN259, 94 nucleotides. The record is from the annotation of a GenBank genome assembly. Lineage: Eukaryota; Fungi; Ascomycota; Sordariomycetes; Sordariales; Podosporaceae.
UCCCAUAUAGUGUAGUGGUUUAGCAUUCCAGAUUUUCAGGAAACAUCAAAACUCCACAUUUCUGGCGACCCGGGUUCGAACCCCGGUAUGGGAA